RNA transcript from Trifolium pratense (red clover), 1891 nucleotides. It is a transcript of the gene named protein POLLEN DEFECTIVE IN GUIDANCE 1-like, with no coding region annotated. The record is from RefSeq and is a predicted model, not a curated record. NCBI's taxonomy places the organism in Eukaryota, Viridiplantae, Streptophyta, Magnoliopsida, Fabales, Fabaceae. The transcript has 12 exons.
ACACCGUCAACUUUAUUCAAACUGGAAAAAGUAAAUGAAACACCGCAGUUCAGAGAAACCACCGCCGCGAUCUCAAUAUUCCCCGUCGGAAUCAGCUAACUUCCACGAGCUCAAUAGUGACGUGUCACGUGCAUUACAAGAAGAUGUCUAGCUCUAAACAGCUAAGACAGAGAAGCUUCAACACUGACGGCAGUUUUGGUGAUUCGGUCGUUACAGCCGUUCAUGAUAGUUGCGAAAAGGAAGGUAGUUCUGCAGAGCCGUUAGAAUUGAAGCCUCUCUUGACGGAGGAAUUAACUUUGAAGCAAUCACCUGUAACAUACUUCUUGGACAAAGUGUACAAUGGAAAUUCUUUAUGGAAUACAACAACUCUUGGGAAUGAAAAGGGAAGAGAACGAGUUUAUGACACUAUCUUCCGCUUGCCAUGGAGAUGUGAAUUGCUUAUAGAUGUUGGCUGCUUUGUCUGCUUCUAUUCAUUUCUAUCAUUGUUAACUGUGGUUCCAACAAGGGUAGUAAUGACCUCUUGGAAGCUUCUGAAAACAAGGAAGUUCAAGAGGCCGUCUCCAAUCGAGUUGUCUGAUUUUGGCUGUUUCAUUAUUGUGGCUUGUGGAAUCACUGUUUUGCAGCAAAUAGAUAUCAGCUUAAUAUACCAUAUAAUCCGUGGUCAAGCAACCAUUAAAUUGUAUGUGAUCUACAAUGUUUUAGAGAUAUUUGAUAGAUUAUGUCAAAGUUUUAACGGGGAUGUGUUGCAAAUGUUAUUUCAUUCAGCAGAAGGACUUGCAAGAUGUUCCCCUGAAACGCAAAGUACGAGAUUCUGGAGAUUUAUUUCUGACCAAGUUUUAGCUGUUGUUGCAAUAAUUGUUCAUUCUUUUAUCUUAUUAGCUCAGGCAAUCACAUUAUCAGCCUGCAUUGUUGCUCACUACAAUGCACUGCCAGCUUUACUGGUGUCAAAUAAUUUUUCUGAGAUCAAAAGCUACGUGUUUAAGGGAUACAAAAAGGAUAAUGUUCAUAGUAUGGUGUACUUUGAUUCUAUAGAGAGAUUCCACAUCUCAACAUUUAUCUUAUUCGUUUUGGCUCAAAAUAUUAUGGAGGCAGAAGGCCCCUGGUUUCAAAGCUUUCUCAUUCAUACACUUUCGGUUUAUCUAUGUGAAGUGGCUAUUGAUGUUAUCAAGCAUUCAUUCAUUGCCAAAUUCAAUAAUAUUACUCCCAUUGCAUACUCUGAGUUCCUUGAAGCUUUAUGUAAACAGACUCUACAUACGCAAACCGAGGAUACAAAGAAAAAUUUGAAGUUUGUCCCUCUUGCUCCAGCGUGUGUGGUUAUUCGAGUUCUGGUUCCAGUAUACGCUGCUAAUCUUCCUUACAGUCCCCUUCCGUGGAAGCUUUUUUGGAUUAUGCUAUUUUCAGCAAUAACCUACAUUUUACUCACAAGCCUCAAGAUUCUAAUUGGCUUGGUUCUAAAGAAACAUGCCACUUGGUAUGUUAAUCGCUGUCGAAGAAGGAAUCAUCAUCUUCAUGCAGAUUAGUUUAGGGACCUACUAAUUUGAUGCCCUCUACAGUUAAAGGAUCCCUUUGCUUGUGCCUGAAGAUUACAUAUGGAAACAACUUUGUCCAUCUACUGAUAGCAUUCUCUAACUCAGUGCGUGGACUCUAUUGGGGCAAGUACAAAGAUUGGGGAACAUAAGCACACUUAUUUUUUAUUUUAUAGACAAAGUAGACAACAUAAGCACACGUUUUUUUUAGUAAAAAAAACAUAAGCACACGUUUUCAUCUUCAAAUUAUAGGUCAAUCACAUGCGAAUAAUCUAUGUACAAUGAUGAGAUCCAUUUCACAUAAUACUAUCCCUCUGAUCAUGCUUUCUAAAUUAGUCCUUUUUUUAUGUCACUUGAGAUAAAAA